AGAGUUUGAUCCUGGCUCAGGAUGAACGCUAGCUACAGGCUUAACACAUGCAAGUCGAGGGGCAGCAUGAACUUAGCUUGCUAAGUUUGAUGGCGACCGGCGCACGGGUGAGUAACACGUAUCCAACCUGCCGAUGACUCGGGGAUAGCCUUUCGAAAGAAAGAUUAAUACCCGAUGGCAUAGUUCUUCCGCAUGGUAGAACUAUUAAAGAAUUUCGGUCAUCGAUGGGGAUGCGUUCCAUUAGGUUGUUGGCGGGGUAACGGCCCACCAAGCCUUCGAUGGAUAGGGGUUCUGAGAGGAAGGUCCCCCACAUUGGAACUGAGACACGGUCCAAACUCCUACGGGAGGCAGCAGUGAGGAAUAUUGGUCAAUGGACGAGAGUCUGAACCAGCCAAGUAGCGUGAAGGAUGACUGCCCUAUGGGUUGUAAACUUCUUUUAUAUGGGAAUAAAGUUGUCCACGUGUGGAUUUUUGUAUGUACCAUAUGAAUAAGGAUCGGCUAACUCCGUGCCAGCAGCCGCGGUAAUACGGAGGAUCCGAGCGUUAUCCGGAUUUAUUGGGUUUAAAGGGAGCGUAGGCGGAUUGUUAAGUCAGUUGUGAAAGUUUGCGGCUCAACCGUAAAAUUGCAGUUGAUACUGGA
Molecule: ribosomal RNA, 639 nt
Filed under: uncultured Bacteroidota bacterium
Lineage: Bacteria; Pseudomonadati; Bacteroidota
Description: bacterial SSU rRNA
Rfam family: Bacterial small subunit ribosomal RNA
Source: RNAcentral